UGGGGAAUAUUGGACAAUGGGCGCAAGCCUGAUCCAGCAAUGCCGCGUGUGUGAAGAAGGCCUUCGGGUUGUAAAGCACUUUUAUCAGGAGCGAAACGCUGUCGGCUAAUACCCGGCGGAACUGACGGUACCUGAGGAAUAAGCACCGGCUAACUUCGUGCCAGCAGCCGCGGUAAUACGAAGGGUGCAAGCGUUAAUCGGAAUUACUGGGCGUAAAGCGUGCGUAGGCGGUUUCUUAAGUCUGCUGUGAAAUCCCCGGGCUCAACCUGGGAAUGGCAGUGGAUACUGGGAGGCUAGAGUGUGUCAGAGGGUGGUGGAAUUCCCGGUGUAGCGGUGAAUGCGUAGAGAUCGGGAGGAACAUCAGUGGCGAAGGCGGCCACCUGGGACAACACUGACGCUGAGGCACGAAAGCGUGGGGAGCAAACAGGAUUAGAUACCCUGGUAGUCCACGCCCUAAAGCGAUGCGACUGGAUGUUGGUCUCAACUCGGAGAUCAGUGUCGAAGCUAACGCGUUAAG
Molecule: ribosomal RNA, 517 nt
Filed under: uncultured bacterium
Lineage: Bacteria
Description: partial 16S ribosomal RNA
Rfam family: Bacterial small subunit ribosomal RNA
Source: RNAcentral